Solanum lycopersicum (tomato) is the source of this 419-nucleotide long non-coding RNA. RefSeq lists it as uncharacterized. The record is from RefSeq and is a predicted model, not a curated record. Lineage: Eukaryota; Viridiplantae; Streptophyta; Magnoliopsida; Solanales; Solanaceae.
AGACUACAUAAUUCCUACUUGUAUGUUAAAAAAGUAAAGUUGUGUUAAAGCUUAAUGUUUUUUGUUUUUGGAAGGAAGAGGUAUGAGGAUAUUUGGGAAGCACAUAUUUCCAAGACAAAUUGUACUAUUUGCUUCUGGGAUGUUAUUUUUGGUUUCAACAACAUAGGAUGUGCAUAAAGAACAACCAAACACCACCUUCAAAGGAGCAAAUCCAAGCAUUUGAAGACUAUCUCAACCGCCCUUCUUAGGUGCACAAUAUGACACGUAUUCCUCUUAUCUACUUUUCAUCUCUCAAUUAAUUUUAUAUCUACUAAACUAAUAUUCUGUACCUAAUCACAUGUUGUAAUUUACGUUAGGGCCGUACGAGAUCGAAUUGAAUUGAAAUUUUUUUUGAUUAAUGGUUGGUUUUAUUUGAUUUA